RNAcentral lists this transfer RNA (71 nucleotides) under Marmota monax (woodchuck). Its description in RNAcentral is "tRNA.Val". Lineage: Eukaryota; Metazoa; Chordata; Mammalia; Rodentia; Sciuridae. The record is from RNAcentral.
GGGGUUGUAGCUCAGUGGUAGAGUUCUGACCUCACAUGUGGAAGGCAUUGAGUUCAAGCCUCAGCACCACA